This 671-nucleotide ribosomal RNA is filed under the name uncultured Alphaproteobacteria bacterium. RNAcentral's name for it is "bacterial SSU rRNA". It matches the Rfam family "Bacterial small subunit ribosomal RNA", at positions 97 to 803 of the family's 1533-position model. Lineage: Bacteria; Pseudomonadati; Pseudomonadota; Alphaproteobacteria. The record is from RNAcentral.
GGCAGACGGGUGCGUAACAUGUGGGAAUCUGCCUUUUGGUUCGGAACAACACGGGGAAACUUGUGCUAAUACCGGAUAAGUCCUAACGGAGAAAGAUUUAUCGCCGAAAGAUGAGCCCGCACUAGAUUAGCUUGUUGGUAAGGUAAAAGCUUACCAAGGCUACGAUCUAUAGCUGAUUUGAGAGGAUGAUCAGCCACACUGGGACUGAGACACGGCCCAGACUCCUACGGGAGGCAGCAGUGGGGAAUCUUGCACAAUGGAGGAAACUCUGAUGCAGCGAUGCCGCGUGAGUGAAGAAGGCCCUUGGGUUGUAAAGCUCUUUUGUCGGGAAAGAUAAUGACUGUACCCGAAGAAUAAGGUCCGGCUAACUUCGUGCCAGCAGCCGCGGUAAUACGAAGGGACCUAGCGUAAUUCGGAAUUACUGGGCGUAAAGCGCGCGUAGGCGGUUAAGUAAGUUAAUUGUGAAAGCCCAAAGCUCAACUUUGGAAUUGCAAUUAAAACUACUUAGCUAGAGUUUAUCAGAGGAAAGCGGAAUACAUAGUGUAGAGGUGAAAUUCGUAGAUAUUAUGUAGAACACCAGUUGCGAAGGCGGCUUUCUGGGAUAACACUGACGCUGAGGUGCGAAAGUAUGGGUAGCGAAGAGGAUUAGAUACCCUCGUAGUCCAUACCGU